This 221-nucleotide long non-coding RNA is filed under the name Manihot esculenta (cassava). RNAcentral describes it as "long non-coding RNA (MESC_LNC004859)". The record is from RNAcentral. Lineage: Eukaryota; Viridiplantae; Streptophyta; Magnoliopsida; Malpighiales; Euphorbiaceae.
CCAAACAAAGUAACAGAUGUGUUGAAAGACCGAAACAACUCAUGUCCUGUGUAAAGCUCCAUUUCCAUCUUUCCCUGUUGGUCAUAAGCUUCCUUUGAAGCAAAAGCCAAACAAAGUAACAGAUGCGUUAAAAGACCAAAACACUCCAUAGAUGCUUCCAAAUAAGAUUGGGAGAGGAAGAGGACGCGUCAAGCAACAAAGUAUAAGUUGUUUUAACGGUG